This 94-nucleotide non-coding RNA is filed under the name unclassified sequences. RNAcentral describes it as "RAGATH-10 RNA". It matches the Rfam family "RAGATH-10 RNA". Rfam says of the family: RNA motif Associated with Genes Associated with Twister and Hammerhead ribozymes (RAGATH). The record is from Rfam by way of RNAcentral.
GAAGCCUCAUCUUGCUCACGCGCCAUCCGGGCGCCAAGAGCAGUGUUUUUCCUGAGGGGAAGGCGCAGGCACUCCGCCUGGAUGAGAAGAUAAG